GAUGAACGCUAGCGGCAGGCCUAAUACAUGCAAGUCGAGGGGCAGCGGGGUAGCAAUACUGCCGGCGACCGGCGCACGGGUGCGUAACACGUAUGCAACCUACCUUAAACUGGGGGAUAGCCCGGGGAAACUCGGAUUAAUACUCCAUAACACAGGGAUCCCGCAUGGGAAUAUUGUUAAAGCUACGGCGGUUGAAGAUGGGCAUGCGUUCGAUUAGCUAGUUGGUGUAGGUAACGGCUCACCAAGGCUACGAUCGAUGGGGGUUCUGAGAGGAUGAUCCCCCACACUGGUACUGAGAUACGGACCAGACUCCUACGGGAGGCAGCAGUAGGGAAUAUUGGUCAAUGGAGGCAACUCUGAACCAGCCAUGCCGCGUGUAGGAAGAAGGCGUUCUGCGUUGUAAACUACUUUUGAUUGGGAACAAAUGACUCUUGCGAGAGUAGCUGAGUGUACCAAUGGAAUAAGCCA
Molecule: ribosomal RNA, 468 nt
Filed under: uncultured bacterium
Lineage: Bacteria
Description: bacterial SSU rRNA
Rfam family: Bacterial small subunit ribosomal RNA
Source: RNAcentral